This 138-nucleotide ribosomal RNA is filed under the name uncultured bacterium. RNAcentral's name for it is "partial 16S ribosomal RNA". It matches the Rfam family "Bacterial small subunit ribosomal RNA", at positions 355 to 509 of the family's 1533-position model. The record is from RNAcentral.
UGGGGAAUAUUGCGCAAUGGGGGAAACCCUGACGCAGCGACGCCGCGUGCGGGAGGAAGGCCCUCGGGCCGCAGACCGCUUUCGGCGGGGACGAAUCACGACGGUACCCGCGGAAGAAGCCCCGGCUAACUACGUGCC